CUGGACUCCUGCUGCAGACAGGGAGCAGAGCACCGCACCUUGAAAUACGGAGAAAAACCUGAAAACGCUAAGAGGUGGAGUGACAACUUGCAUUCAGCUGUUUCAGAAACAUUGUUGACCACCUACUCAAUGUGAAGAUGACGAAGAUGAAAGCCUUUAUGAUGAUCUACUUCCACUUAAUAAAUGGACUAUUUUUCUUUCCUGCCCCAUACCAAUAAGAAACAAGGAUGCAACAACAACAAUGACAACAGACCUAAGUGGAAUCUUGGAAGCAUGCUUGCAAAGCUCAUGCUUCCCCCUGCAUAAGCUAGCUAAGACAAGGCACGGGGUAGGAGGAAAAGAGACAAGAUUGUGACUCAAAAGUGUAGAUGGAGGAUUCACCAGGACAGACCCAGGAAGGUGGGAUCCUCACCAUGCUAGAAAAAGAACAUCCAUCUCAAGGGAAACCAGCUGCCAUGCAUGAGGAUACUCCAGCAGCUUAUGGAGAAGUCCAUGUGGUGAGGAACUGGGGUCGGUCCACAACCACCUGAGUGAACCUGAAAGUGGAUCUUCCCCUCACUCAAGCAUUGAGUUGACUGCUGGCCCAACCAACAGUUUGUCUGCAACUUCAUGAGAGACCCUGACUCAGAAGCACUCAAUUAACUCAUGAAAACGACUCCAAUAUGAAUGGUGAAUGUAAUUUAAUGUGUCAUGGAAAUGCAGAGCUGUAGAACUGAUUAUUUUUCCCAGUAUAAAUGGAAGAGCUCUAAUCUACAAGUGGAGGUGAAGCAUCCCCAGUGGCCAGGAGGACAACCUUGCCCAGUGACCUUUCCUAGAAGAAGGUAUCGAAGUGCUAAGAUGAGGAUUUCCACAAAUUUCUGCUCAGGCAACACCACCCAUCAUCAACUGAGUUAAUGCCCAUCCCUAAAUGUGUGUAACAUGGGCGAAGUGAAUUUUUUCUUUCUCUGUCAUGCUCACUUCCCACUUACCUGCUAGAGUAAGAGUAUACUAGCAUAUUAUUUAGACAUCUAGUUUUUAAUAAUAUUCAUUUUCAUACAACAUGACCACAAAGAAGAAACUGUUAUAUCUUAUAAUGGAAGAAAAUCUGACUGUGGAGAAGUUACUGAGAAAUGGUACAUCUGCAUUAUGCUUUAUGGGUGAUUUAAAGGAUUUUCAAAUAUUAUUUUGACUACAGGUAAAAUAACUGUAUAAUUUAUCAUACAAAUUUGAAAGCAUUUGAGUCAGACAGGAUAUUAAUGAUAAUUAGGCUGAAAUGACAGGCAUAAAUGAAGAGCCUUCUGGUAAAUUAAAAUGUAG
RNAcentral lists this long non-coding RNA (1296 nucleotides) under Pan troglodytes (chimpanzee). RNAcentral's name for it is "long non-coding RNA NONPTRT012449". Lineage: Eukaryota; Metazoa; Chordata; Mammalia; Primates; Hominidae. The record is from RNAcentral.